UGGGGAAUUUUGGACAAUGGGCGCAAGCCUGAUCCAGCAAUGCCGCGUGCAGGAUGAAGGCCUUCGGGUUGUAAACUGCUUUUGUACGGAACGAAACGGUCUUUUCUAAUACAGAAGGCUAAUGACGGUACCGUAAGAAUAAGCACCGGCUAACUACGUGCCAGCAGCCGCGGUAAUACAGAGGGUGCAAGCGUUAAUCGGAAUUACUGGGCGUAAAGCGCGCGUAGGUGGUUAGUUAAGUUGGAUGUGAAAUCCCCGGGCUCAACCUGGGAACUGCAUUUGUGACUGCAUAGCUGGAGUGCGGCAGAGGGGGAUGGAAUUCCGCGUGUAGCAGUGAAAUGCGUAGAUAUGCGGAGGAACACCGAUGGCGAAGGCAGCCUCCUGGGCCAGUACUGACGCUCAUGCACGAAAGCGUGGGGAGCAAACA
Molecule: ribosomal RNA, 427 nt
Filed under: uncultured bacterium
Lineage: Bacteria
Description: bacterial SSU rRNA
Rfam family: Bacterial small subunit ribosomal RNA
Source: RNAcentral